RNAcentral lists this ribosomal RNA (459 nucleotides) under uncultured Treponema sp. RNAcentral's name for it is "partial 16S ribosomal RNA". It matches the Rfam family "Bacterial small subunit ribosomal RNA", at positions 341 to 792 of the family's 1533-position model. Lineage: Bacteria; Pseudomonadati; Spirochaetota; Spirochaetia; Treponematales; Treponemataceae. The record is from RNAcentral.
ACGGAAGGCAGCAGCUAAGAAUAUUCCGCAAUGGACGAAAGUCUGACGGAGCGACGCCGCGUGGAUGAUGAAGGUCGAAAGAUUGUAAAAUCCUUUUAGGAGUGAAGAAUAAGCGGUGCAGGGAAUGGCAUCACGGUGACGGUAGCUCCUGAAUAAGCAACGGCUAAUUACGUGCCAGCAGCCGCGGUAACACGUAAGUUGCGAGCGUUGUUCGGAAUUAUUGGGCGUAAAGGGCAUGUAGGCGGUUUUGCAAGCUUGGUGUGAAAGGCAGGAGCUUAACUCCUGGACUGCGUUGAGAACUGCAAGACUAGAGUUACUGAAGAGCAAUCAGAAUUCCAGGUGUAGGGGUGAAAUCUGUAGAUAUCUGGAAGAAUACCAAUGGCGAAGGCAGGUUGCUGGCAGAUGACUGACGCUGAGGUGCGAAGGUGCGGGGAGCAAACAGGAUUAGAUACCCUGGUA